AGGACCCAAUUCUCUUGGGUCCGGCUUCAGGACCCAAGGGUAAUCGGUCGUGCGUCAAGACCCAAUUCUCUUGGGUUCGGCAUCCGAACCCAAGGCUAAUGGGUCCU
Molecule: non-coding RNA, 107 nt
Organism: Populus trichocarpa (black cottonwood)
Lineage: Eukaryota; Viridiplantae; Streptophyta; Magnoliopsida; Malpighiales; Salicaceae
Source: Rfam